Molecule: unclassified non-coding RNA, 333 nt
Filed under: soil metagenome
Description: partial contains 5.8S ribosomal RNA, internal transcribed spacer 2, and large subunit ribosomal RNA
Rfam family: 5.8S ribosomal RNA (bases 1-120)
Source: RNAcentral
GAUGAAGAACGUAGCGAAAUGCGAUAAGUAAUGUGAAUUGCAGAAUUCAGUGAAUCAUCGAAUCUUUGAACGCACAUUGCGCCCGCCAGUAUUCUGGCGGGCAUGCCUGUUCGAGCGUCAUUUCAACCAUCAAGCUCUGCUUGCGUUGGGGAUCCGCGGCUGCCCGCGGUCCCUCAAAACCAGUGGCGGGCUCGCUAGUCACACCGAGCGUAGUAUCUUUACAUCGCUAUGGUCGUGCGGCGGGUGCUUGCCGUAAAACCCCCCAAUUUUUAAGGUUGACCUCGGAUCAGGUAGGAAUACCCGCUGAACUUAAGCAUAUCAAUAAGCGGAGGA